GAUGAAGAACGUAGCAAAAUGCGAUAAGUAAUGUGAAUUGCAGAAUCCAGUGAAUCAUCGAAUCUUUGAACGCACAUUGCGCCCGCCAGCAUUCUGGCGGGCAUGCCUGUUCGAGCGUCAUUUCAACCCUCGACCUCCCUUUGGGGAAGUCGGCGUUGGGGACCGGCAGCACACCGCCGGCCCUGAAAUGGAGUGGCGGCCCGUCCGCGGCGACCUCUGCGUAGUAAUCCAACUCGCACCGGAACCCCGACGCGGCCACGCCGUAAAACACCCAACUUCUGAACGUUGACCUCGAAUCAGGUAGGACUACCCGCUGAACUUAAGCAUAUCAAUAAGCGGAGGA
RNAcentral lists this unclassified non-coding RNA (343 nucleotides) under soil metagenome. Its description in RNAcentral is "partial contains 5.8S ribosomal RNA, internal transcribed spacer 2, and large subunit ribosomal RNA". The stretch from base 1 to 120 matches the Rfam family "5.8S ribosomal RNA", at positions 35 to 154 of the family's 154-position model. The record is from RNAcentral.